AGCUAAAGCUACAGCUAAACAUGAUAAUAAAAAUAAUAUAAAAGAAAUGCUAGAAGAGAACCAGCGUUUGUCAGAGAUUGUACAUUGCAAACUCUGUGUCACAGGGGAACCAGAUAUUCUAUUUUUACCAUGUGCACAUCAUAAAAUAUGUCAUAAAUGUUCUGAAAAUCUCACACAUUGCCCUAUCUGUAGAAAACAAAUCAAACAAAAAGUGAAAACAUAUAGGUCUUAAAGUGAAUUGAUCUAUAAUGGAAGGUCUGUAAUACAAUAAGUGCAAUAAAUAAUUACCUCGAUAAUAUUGGAGUAUCAAACAAUAAACCACAAAUUAAGUAUAUAUGUUUGUUGUUGGCACGUGUGACAUACACGAUCCGAUAUAACAUAUCAAUAUAGAAGACAACCGAGGUUUUACGCAUGCGUAAAAUGGCUGCAAAGGAAUGGUCAGCUGUGCAGAAGAACCGAAUAACAUGCUACCUAGAAAGAUCUGGACAGUUGUUGAAAAUUAAAGGGAAAGCGUUACGACACGAAAAUUCCAUUACGUUCAUUUAAAUUUAAAAUUGUCAUGAAGUGUAAAGUUGAUAUAUGUGAAUGUUUUUAUGUACUUGUAUUUUUUACUGAGGCCUCGCAAAAUAUAUCACUUCAUUCCGCAGUUAAGCAUAUCAUGUAAGACUCGGCUGUGCAGCCGAAUAAUAAAAUGCUCUAGAACAAAAUAUUAUCAUUCAUCAUGUAAAUGCCCAUACUUAAUAACAUUUGUUCUCCUGAAAUAUCUUAUAAUAAUAACAAAAUGAUACAUUACUACUUUUUUUUAAAAUGAUACAUUACUAUUUUUUUUUAUCAAUAUCUGGAAUUCUAUUAAAUAAAAUGUGCCAAAUGUAGACAAUCUACUUUAAGAAUAAUUUUAUUAUGCUUCUUAUAUAUUUUAUCAUGACUCAGAAACCAAUUCAAUAUAUUUCUCAAUAUAACUUAAUGAGAUUUGUGCUAAUUCCCAUACUUGAGAUAAUAUUUUGUAUAUGUUUUUUGUAAAACUAAACAUGUCCGACAUAUACUUACUAGAUACGUUUAUUUUCUCUCAGACUUAAAGUAGAAACUGUUAGAUGGUCAAGAGAUAGAGUGGAUAUGAAUAAUAGAUAGUGUAGACACUGUAAUAUCAUUGAAGAUGAAUAUCAUUUUGUAAUAUGUUGCUCUAAAUAUAAUGCCCCGAGACCACAAUAUUAUAUAAAUAAACCCAGAAUUGUUGAAAUGUCAGAAUGAACAUGUUAUAUUUAAUUUAUGACUACAUUUGUAAAUUUUCAAAAUCAGAAAAUAAUGAAACAUUGUAUCAAAAGUAAUCAUAUGUCUUCUCCCAAUACAAUACAUUACUGUAUAUACAGACAUACGUUUUUACAGGAGUUUUUAUGUCCCUUUGUGUUUAUCCUCUUUUGUAAAUAGUAUUGUUCUAAAAAUGUAAAGAAAUUGCCUGUUUCAAAGCUUAUUUUGUAAAAAAAAUAGGAUAGUUUUAAAAAUGUAUAGUCUUUUUUUAAAGCUUGUUGUUGUAUAAGAAUGUUUAUUACGCAUGAAAUAGUUUGCCAUUGAUGCCAUUGAUGUCAUGUGACACAUGUAAUUGUAUAUAUUGUAAAUGUGUUGACCCAUGGACUUCUCCAGAUCCCUCCCGAGGCGUGCACGUCGCGGAGAAGGCACACGCCAGGUCAAGGCAAAGUCACCUCAAGUACCAGAGACGAUUGGUUGACCUGUCGUGACUAACUCGGGAGGGUGGCUCUAACAAGAGCCGUUUUUGUUAUGUUGCCGUCAGGAAACGCGAUGCCUAUUGUCGUAUAUCCACUCACCACCAACAAAAGAAGAAUAGGCUAUGAAAAGACGUCCCCGAUGUGACUUCUACAGUGGACCGACAUGGACGCUGAUAAUCUCGGACAUAUAGUUAAUUUCGGCGCAGAGUAUAAAUAAAACUUUAUACUAAUACUACUACUAAUUCUAAUACUACUACUAAUCAUGGACCAAUCUGGCCUACUGGCUUUGUGAGAUUUAACCAAUAAAACCAUUAAAAACUUACCAGUUUAAAAGAGAAUUGAACAAGUAAUGUUCACCAAGUUUAUGUACGGUGCCUCGCUUUGUACCUUAUCGUUGGUCAUGUGUGACUGGAUCAUAUCAUGGCUGAGUUCAGUGAAAGUCAUCUGACCUUGUUGAUGUUAUUGUAAGAAAUUCAAAUUUAAUGUUUUAGGUAUUUGAACUUCAGUGGAGUUCCUUUAAGAAAUGUCUGUUUGUUUUGUUUGUUAAAUCAUGCAAUUCCAUGAUAUACUCCACUAUAUGUUUUUUCGUUUCAUUUAUUUUCGUUCUGUUCUGAUAGAACAACAAUAAUGUCAUCUGUGAUUGUAUGUUGCAAUUAUUUAUUAUGAUAGUUCUAAAAUGUGUGAUAUUAGUAUUUUAUAUGUCUUUAUGUGUUAUAAAUUGUCUCUAUAAUAAAUAGAUAUGACUUCUGAUUAAUUA
Ruditapes philippinarum (Manila clam) is the source of this 2478-nucleotide long non-coding RNA. RefSeq lists it as uncharacterized. NCBI's taxonomy places the organism in Eukaryota, Metazoa, Mollusca, Bivalvia, Venerida, Veneridae. The transcript is spliced from 2 exons. The record is from RefSeq and is a predicted model, not a curated record.